Molecule: ribosomal RNA, 469 nt
Filed under: uncultured eubacterium WJGRT-214
Lineage: Bacteria
Description: bacterial SSU rRNA
Rfam family: Bacterial small subunit ribosomal RNA
Source: RNAcentral
UGCAAGUCGAGGGGCAUCAUGUCGAUAGCUUGCUAUUGUUGAUGGCGACCGGCGCACGGGUGAGUAACGCCUAUCCAACCUUCCCCUUACUAGAGGAUAGCCCGGCGAAAGUCGGAUUAAUACUCUAUGUUGUUCGAUGCGGACAUCUAAGUUGAACCAAAGAUUUAUCGGUAAGGGAUGGGGAUGCGCUCCAUUAGGUUGUAGGUAGGGUAAUGGCCUACCUAGCCUAUGAUGGAUAGGGGUUCUGAGAGGAAGGUCCCCCACAUUGGAACUGCGACACGGUCCAAACUCCUACGGGAGGCAGCAGUGAGGAAUAUUGGUCAAUGGCCGGAAGGCUGAACCAGCCAAGUAGCGUGCAGGAUGACUGCCUUAUGGGUUGUAAACGGCUUUUUUACUGGGAUAAUUAUGAUCACGUGUGAUUAUGUACAUGUACCGUAAGAAUAAGGAUCGGCUAACUGCGUCCCAGCAG